GGGGCCAUAGUUGAAUGGGACAACGCCACGUUCGCAUCGUGGAAUUACGGGUUCGACUCCCGUUGGCUCCACCA
This 74-nucleotide transfer RNA is filed under the name Omnitrophica WOR_2 bacterium RIFCSPHIGHO2_02_FULL_45_21. RNAcentral describes it as "tRNA-Ala". It matches the Rfam family "tRNA". Rfam says of the family: Transfer RNA (tRNA) molecules are approximately 80 nucleotides in length. Lineage: Bacteria; Pseudomonadati; Candidatus Omnitrophota. The record is from RNAcentral.